AGUAAAGUAAGCUAAUUUUUAAGCCUUUGAGCCCAUACCCCAACUAUGUAGGUUUGACCCCUACCUUUACU
Molecule: transfer RNA, 71 nt
Filed under: Cornufer vitianus (Fiji ground frog)
Lineage: Eukaryota; Metazoa; Chordata; Amphibia; Anura; Ceratobatrachidae
Description: Platymantis vitianus (Fiji ground frog) tRNA-Met
Rfam family: tRNA
About the family: Transfer RNA (tRNA) molecules are approximately 80 nucleotides in length. Their secondary structure includes four short double-helical elements and three loops (D, anti-codon, and T loops).
Source: RNAcentral